Molecule: ribosomal RNA, 254 nt
Filed under: uncultured bacterium
Lineage: Bacteria
Description: partial 16S ribosomal RNA
Rfam family: Bacterial small subunit ribosomal RNA
Source: RNAcentral
GACGAACCGUGCGAACGUUAUUCGGAAUCACUGGGCUUAAAGCGCGUGUAGGCGGGCCGCCACGUCGGCUGCUGAAAUCCCCCGGCUCAACCGGGGAACGGGCACCGAUACGAGCGGCCUGGAGGGGGGUAGGGGGGCCUGGAACUUCCGGUGGAGCGGUGAAAUGCGUUGAGAUCGGAAGGAACGCCCGUGGCGAAAGCGAGGCCCUGGACCCUUACUGACGCUGAGACGCGAAAGCCAGGGGAGCGAACGGG